Molecule: long non-coding RNA, 4232 nt
Filed under: Androctonus crassicauda
Lineage: Eukaryota; Metazoa; Arthropoda; Arachnida; Scorpiones; Buthidae
Source: RNAcentral
AAUAGCCACCCGCUAAUGAAUUGAAAAAUUAAAGAAAAAAAAAUAUAUAUAUAUGUAUUAAUUCUCGAUUUUUGGGAAAUUUUAAUGGUGUGUUAAUAUCGGAGAUCAUUUAAAAAUUAACAAAACCGAUUUUCAAAAACAACCGAAUAACUGGAAGUUUCCGCGCAGUUAAUUUAUCAUUAAAAGUAAUCGAAAUAAAACUCCCCAACCCACCUUCGUUCCACCCUAUAAAAUAUCCGAGAAACAAAUGGUGGUUCUGUAUCGGCUACUAAGAAAAUGUAAAUUAAAAGCGAACACCGAAGGUUAUUGGUAAGUUAUGAAUGGUUAAAAAUCGUUGGUAAAUUACCGUAGAAGUAGCGUAAAAUGUAAAUUUUAAAUCAGAGAAACUAAAAAAACUAUGUUGGCCCUUAGUAAUUUUAAGUGUCGGUGCGGAGCCACUCGUCCGUCGAGAGGCCAGUCGGCUCCAAAAACUAACAUUUUUCGCUUUCCGUUUUUCCUUUUUCUGGCUCCCACCUACGGGUCCACCUACCUCCGGCACCCGCCGCUCCUCCGCCCCCUACCUCUCUUACCCGCCAUAUCCCGACUAAACCUGGUGGCUAACCGAUACCGGAAAGGUUAAAGGUCCGGCACAGCGGCCGUUCGGAAGUAGAUGGUUAGGCGUCCAAGUCCGACCUUCCUAACCCGAAAACCUUCCCUAAAAUUAAGAAUAAGUCGAAAUCUUCGAGGGUCUAGGUAAUUUUGGCUCUCCGCCUGUCUGGGGAUAGAGCCAACCUAGCCAUAGUUUUUAACGCGUAUAUUCUCCCAGGUCCAUCUUAUCGUGUUUAUUUUUACCUUUAAUCGGACGACGGGACAUUUUCGGCCGACUGGCGUCUACUAUAAACAAUAAUCCGCUCUCGGUCAUCCGAGUGGCAUCGAUCGGGUGCCCGUCACCGGGUCAAGAUCGACAAUUACGCCUCGAACGAGUACCGUACGGGAGAAAGCGGGGUAAAAGAGGAUGGUCCCGCCCCUAUUCGGAAUAAAGCUAGGGGAAAGCUAAGAGGAAGCGCUGGAUUAAAAGAUGGCUGGGGUAGAGUAGCCUUCGCUAUUUGGCGCCGAUAUCCCGUUAUGUAUACUUAGACACGGCCCUGGCCGGUGGAAAAACACGUUUCCAUUACUCUAUUCCGGACGCGAAAUGGACAGUGACAAAAUAAGUGAUGGAAGGGGUGGGGAGGAGAAGAAAAACGCGUCUAAUCCCAGAUCUUCAUCAAUUCUGCCACAGCCCCUACUUAAUCUAGGCUCGACGUCAUUACGAAUUUCCAUCGACGUUUAGAAGAUUCCCGGUAAGCGAAUGCGCUCUUUUUUUUUUUUCCUUUCUCCUCCCCCUUCAAACACCGUGUCUCGACAUAUAUGAAUAAUGUAUUGGAAAAGCCUCCAUUAGCGAGUUUUUGAUUGCGCUGUACACCGGGGAGACUGUCCGGCUAUUAAACAUUCCUACAAAACAUUAAUCCGUGUUGAUCCUUUGGCCCGUCAUCCAACGCUUUCUAGAUGGGCUGAUUAACACUUAUUUUCUCCGCCACCACCAUAAACUGCCGGACGGCGACAAUAUUGCGCCAUCGAUUACUUCCUAUCAACCCAUCCGUCCUAGCCGGCCGCUAUACCGCUGCCAAACCUAAUAAACCUUCCACCAAUUUCUCCAUAUUAAUUAAAAGGGAAUUUAUCGGUGGCCGGGCCCACUAAGCCCACACCAGUCGGCGCCGGCUACCGGGCUUCCGCUCGGCCUCCACCACCGACUGGGGUUGGGGGUCCCAUCCAAAACCCAGGUAAAAGGCGGUCGACUAUAUGGAAAUGGAGAAAGCGAGGGCCGCCACCCCGGAACAAAUCUGUUCGAUUUGUUUUCCUAAGUCAAAAUUUACCUGGACCGGAAAAUUUACGUUUUAAAGGCUGGAUCAAAGCCUAGAGUUUUUGCCAGCGGAAAGACGGUUAGCCACUCUAACCGUUUAAAAACACCUGGCCCGUAAGCGCCGAUUUUAGCCUAAAUAUUUAAACGGUAAAUGGGAAUUUAACGGGUCGAGUGGGUUGGCAGCCUCCCACUUAGCGCGGGCUUUGGGAUAUGGGACGUAUAGGGCUACCGUGGCGCCUGACGGUUAGGUCCAUCGGGAUAUUAAGCGGUUAUUAAAAAUAAUGUUAACUUCGGCCCGAAAUAUUUGACCAUUUGGUCGGCUAACUAAAUAAAAAGGUGAAAUCGAUAUUAGCAAAGAUUCCGAAUUUUCCGCAUAUAAAAUUGUUGGAUUUACCACCCGAGUCGAAAAGAAUUUCUUUUCGUUUAGCCACCGGGACGGUCUAGUGCCGUUCGAGACGAUACAGGCCCGUUAAAAUUCCAAUUUCGAUGGGGCGCUGCACCCACCACUGUCCGUUACUUACAUAUUCCGUCCAGACAGCCACCCGUCCGACUACGUCCGAACCGGUGCGGCCUAUUUCCGGAAAGGGCAAAUUUUGGCCCGCUACGGAGACCACAAAAACUUUAAAAAUUGGGUUUUAUUAGAAACCACCGGUGGGGUGGUCCUCCCGCCCGUCCGAGUUUCCGGGGAUACUCCGGUCUGUACCCGAAUUUCCACUCUAAUCGACGCUCAGUUAAAAAUUGAUGGGAAAGGUGGUCAGUUUUUCCCAAAAUAAUCUAAGGCCAUUAAUUUUUUUUUUACGUUUGGGAGCUGGUGGCCACCGGUUACUUGGAAAUGACCCGACUUUGUUCCGACCUGCGACCGACUAAGGAUGGGGAAACGACUGGAAUUUUAACGGUUGUUUUGUCUCCGUUAUCUAUUAAACCAGAUAUCGAUCCUGGUAGGCGUUUAAUAAACGACUAGGCACCUGGGAUAAUCAUCGACCCGCUCUACUUCCCACCUCCAAAUCGGAAAAACUCUUUCCCGGCUGUGGGCUACCAGCCCCUUAAAGCCGAGUCCGGACUCGGGGACCACCGCCACUCGGGGGAGCCCGGCCCCACACCGGAAUCUCCGGCCGGAUCCCUCAUCUAUUGUGAAAUUCCCACCAUUCUCUACCAUUCUACUCUACCACCCGUCGGUAUUCCCGCCCGGAAAGCCCUUCCGCCGGGCUAGCCCCAGUUUUUUUCCGCCAGAAGGUCGACUGGCCCUGGCUUAACUUUCGGUAACUUUCUUCCGGGACCAGUAAAUUUACAGACGGAGGAGGAUGCGAACGAACUGCCGAGGAAAAGGGGGAUUUAGUCGAGCGCGGAAGAGAUUUUUCACUGGAAAAGAGGCGCCAGAAUUUCCGAUGGGAAAAUGGCCUUCACCCACUGCCCUAGCUACGGGUCGGCCUUCUUUCUAAGAAUGACGGCGGGUAGACGGAUGGCUUUACUCUGGGUCCACCCCCAAAACGCUUCCCACCCAUAACCCCCGUUUACCCGGCCUAAUUAAUGGCCCAUCCUCCGGACCAAAUAAACGGUAACUGUGGAAAAUUUUUACCCGCCACUCGGCUGACCUUGGCAUCUGGCGGUCGAUAAUUUUUCGAUGACGGACUAAUCCUUCCGCGGUAACCGGGAUGGAUGACCCAGGGGACUACCAAAAUACUCCGAAUAUGGAAAACCCGCCUCCAUAAAUGGCGGCCGGUUUAAAAGCGCGGGCCCUAAACUGCCGGACCCGAUGAUUUCCGUCGGGUUCCAGCCACCGCCGGCCCUAAGGAAAAACGAGGGCGGUCCCCACCUUCGAUUUAGCCAGGGGUGGCCCAAAUCUGGUAAAUAAGGAAAGGAAUCGAUUAAGAAGGAGUAAAUUGGUGGGAAUGGCGGGAGUAGGGGGAGAGAGAGAGAGAGAAAGCUGCAGGAGAUAGGCUAGUCUGCUUCACUCUAUAAGAUACAAAAGACGAUAAUCAGGAAGAUCUUUAUCGCUAAAUUUUUCUUUAUCCGGUUAAGAAUUUCCACAUAUAUAAAAUGUGUAGAUUGAAUUUUUUUCUAUACUUAAAAAAUAUACUUUUUUUUUUUUUUUGAUGCUCGAAAUCGUGAUUAAAAUGUGUGAGAAAUUCAAUGCGAUUUUCGUGACUGUCCAUUGAUCAGAAACAAAUUUAAGGAGAAUGUGUCAGUCUGUAGGCAAGAAAUCCAUAAAAAAAAUGAUUUUAUAUCAAUCUCUUUUGAUAUAUGAGCGUAGUAAAGAAUUCCCCUUGGAAAACCACACAAAUUGGUUUCGAACUUCUAAAAAAAAAUUGAGUUAAAGCAUUAUACUUUCAUCAUAAGGGGAUUGCCGACCGUG